CAGCCAUAGCACUGCUGGGUUUAUACUGCAAAGAGAUAAUAAGGAAAAAGGCAUGUACAAAAAUAUUCAUAGCUGCACUCUUUGUAGUGGCAAAAAAUUGGAAAAUGAGGGGAUGCCCUUCAAUUGGGGAAUUGUGGUAUUUGCUGGUGAUGGAAUACUAUUGUGCUCAAAGGAAUAAUGAACUGGAGGGAUUCCAUGUGAACUGGAACAACCUCCAGGAACUGAUGCAGAGUGAAAGGAGCAGAACCAGGAGAACAUUGUGCACAGAGACGGAUACACUGUGGCACAAUUGAAUGUAAUGGGCAAUGCUAGUAGAGAAGGACAAUUCUGAGGCACUUAUGAGAAAGAUGCUAUCCACAUCCAGAGGAAGAACUGUGGGAUCGGAAAUGCAGAAGAAAAACAACUGCUUGAUCACAUGGGUUAAUGGGGAUAUGAUUGGGGAUGUAGACUCUAAGCGAUCACCCUAAUGCAAAUAUCAGUAAUAUGGAAAUAGGGCUUGAUCAGCAACACAUGUGGAAUUGUGUGUUGGCUAUGGGAGGGGAUGGGAGGAGGGAAAGAACAUGAUUUUUAUAAUCCUGGGAAAAUGCUCUACAUUAAUCAAUAAAAUAAAAUAAACUGGUUUUGAAUGGUUUAAGCUGGUUUGGUGGUUUGAACUGUUUUAAGGAAAGGAAACGACUACAUUUUGAUUGACAGAGACACGUGACAUAGAAUCUGAUCAGACCCUGGGUCAAGAUUCCAAGCAAGGAGGUUGGGGGGAGGUUUGUCCCAACUGCCAACAGUCAUUCUCUCUGGAGAAGGAGGAGCAGGAAGGCUUUGGCUUGUGGCUGCAUUUUCAACUAUAUACAAAGAUACAACUGGCUCUGGAAGACUUCAGCUGGGGAGAGACUGCUUCAGCCAGGCUGGACUGGAGAAUAUAAGGAAGAUCAUCAAGCUUGGCUGGGAGCUGCUGUGACCUUUCCUCUGGGAAUCUGGCCCAUCUUGGAUUCAAUUUUGGCCCAGGUUUAUUAUUUUCUCCAUCGGUUCAUCAAUCAACAAACAUUAAGUACCUACUAUGUGCUGGUCGUCAGCCUCAGAGCAUGGAUUCCUUGUCAGAGUUACUAAAUGGUGACUAAGAGUCACAUCGCCCAAGUUCCAGGCCUUUCAUGUGGGAGGCUCUCUGUCUAUGUAAAGGAACAUUUUUUCCUGGCUCGGCCUCUUCAUAGUCAUCCUGGGUUCUUUGCGUCUUCAAAGUGCCGCUCUGGUGCUGAAUAAUUAAUUCUCCGUCUGCUCCUGGGAAAGGGAAUAAAUAAAUGUACCUUUUAUAGGGCGAUGAGGGC
This 1316-nucleotide long non-coding RNA is filed under the name Monodelphis domestica (gray short-tailed opossum). RNAcentral's name for it is "lncRNA (ENSMODG00000047945.1)". The record is from RNAcentral. Lineage: Eukaryota; Metazoa; Chordata; Mammalia; Didelphimorphia; Didelphidae.